This 208-nucleotide ribosomal RNA is filed under the name uncultured bacterium. RNAcentral's name for it is "partial 16S ribosomal RNA". It matches the Rfam family "Bacterial small subunit ribosomal RNA", at positions 316 to 525 of the family's 1533-position model. The record is from RNAcentral.
CGCCCGCCGCGCGCGGGGGCUACGGGAGGCAGCAGUGAGGAAUAUUGGUCAAUGGACGGAAGUCUGAACCAGCCAAGUAGCGUGCAGGAUGACGGCCCUAUGGGUUGUAAACUGCUUUUAUGCGGGGGUAAAGUGAGUGACGUGUCAUUCAUUGCAAGUACCGCAAGAAUAAGGACCGGCUAAUUCCGUGCCAGCAGCCGCGGUAAUA